RNAcentral lists this ribosomal RNA (489 nucleotides) under uncultured bacterium. RNAcentral's name for it is "partial 16S ribosomal RNA". It matches the Rfam family "Bacterial small subunit ribosomal RNA", at positions 30 to 506 of the family's 1533-position model. The record is from RNAcentral.
AUUGAACGCUGGCGGCAGGCCUAACACAUGCAAGUCGAACGGUAACAGGAAGAAGCUUGCUUCUUUGCUGACGAGUGGCGGACGGGUGAGUAAUGUCUGGGAAACUGCCUGAUGGAGGGGGAUAACUACUGGAAACGGUAGCUAAUACCGCAUAACGUCGCAAGACCAAAGAGGGGGACCUUCGGGCCUCUUGCCAUCGGAUGUGCCCAGAUGGGAUUAGCUAGUAGGUGGGGUAACGGCUCACCUAGGCGACGAUCCCUAGCUGGUCUGAGAGGAUGACCAGCCACACUGGAACUGAGACACGGGCCAGACUCCUAUGGGAGGCAGCAGUGGGGAAUAUUGCACAAUGGGCGCAAGCCUGAUGCAGCCAUGCCGCGUGUAUGAAGAAGGCCUUCGGGUUGUAAAGUACUUUCAGCGGGGAGGAAGGGAGUAAAGUUAAUACCUUUGCUCAUUGACGUUACCCGCAGAAGAAGCACCGGCUAACUCCGU